RNAcentral lists this long non-coding RNA (727 nucleotides) under Pandoravirus salinus. RNAcentral describes it as "putative ncRNA". The record is from RNAcentral.
CUUUUCACGCACGACGCCGCAGACACGCCCAAAGCGCGCGCGGCGCCUGCCUUGUGCUCGAUCGGCCCCUUUUCUUUUAAUGGCCCUGUCGGGGGCGUGUGCAGCCGUCGGGCUCGACAUCAAUCACGUCCAACCGACGCAAACAAGGAGGAAAAAAAGGGCAAAAAAUGAACGCGUCAAAAAACAUGGCGGCACCGCCCCUUUGUACAAGAGGACGGGUCUCGAUUGACCUCGCGCCCGAGACGGCCGCAAGUCGCUCGAACAGGGGCACCUUUUGUUCCGACUCGCUCAUGACUUGCUGCUGGCGCCACGAAAAAAAUACCACACAACCGCGCCCGACAUUGGCUGCAUAGAGAGUCGAUUCUUUCUUGGCCCAAUGGUGCGCUUUGGUCGGGCCCUGUCGUAUUUGUGGUUGCCGAAAAAAAAAAUGCUGCGCGCUCACUCGCAAGGCGCAAUCGACUCGGCCGAGUCCGAAUCUUGUGGCUAGCCGGGACGCUACCGCCUCUUCUUUUUUUGUGAUUGGCGCACACAGUCGUCGGAGGCAAAGGCCAAUCGGCUUGUUGUCGCCAUGUCGCGCGAUGGCACGGCUCAUGGCCGACGAGACGGCGACCACGACUGAGGCGCAGACCGACCGACUGACUGACCGACUGACUGACUGGGGUUGGUUGUCAACGGAAAAGAGUGCGCACAAAUUUUUACGACAAAAUAAAAGCAAAGAACUCGAAAU